GACGAACGCUGGCGGCGUGCUUAACACAUGCAAGUCGAACGGAAAGGCCCUGCUUUUGUGGGGUGCUCGAGUGGCGAACGGGUGAGUAACACGUGAGUAACCUGCCCUUGACUUUGGGAUAACUUCAGGAAACUGGGGCUAAUACCGGAUAGGAGCUCCUGCUGCAUGGUGGGGGUUGGAAAGCUUCGGCGGUUGGGGAUGGACUCGCGGCUUAUCAGCUUGUUGGUGGGGUAGUGGCUUACCAAGGCUUUGACGGGUAGCCGGCCUGAGAGGGUGACCGGCCACAUUGGGACUGAGAUACGGCCCAGACUCCUACGGGAGGCAGCAGUGGGGAAUAUUGCACAAUGGGCGGAAGCCUGAUGCAGCAACGCCGCGUGCGGGAUGACGGCCUUCGGGUUGUAAACCGCUUUCGCCUGUGACGAAGCGUGAGUGACGGUAAUGGGUAAAGAAGCACCGGCUAACUACGUGCCAGCAGCCGCGGUGAUACGUAGGGUGCGAGCGUUGUCCGGAUUUAUUGGGCGUAAAGGGCUCGUAGGUGGUUGAUCGCGUCGGAAGUGUAAUCUUGGGGCUUAACCCUGAGCGUGCUUUCGAUACGGGUUGACUUGAGGAAGGUAGGGGAGAAUGGAAUUCCUGGUGGAGCGGUGGAAUGCGCAGAUAUCAGGAGGAACACCAGUGGCGAAGGCGGUUCUCUGGGCCUUUCCUGACGCUGAGGAGCAAAAGCGUGGGGAGCGAACAGGCUUAGAUACCCUGGUAGUCCACGCUGUAAACGGUGGGUACUAGGUGUGGGGUCCAUUCCACGGGUUCCGUGCCGUAGCUAACGCUUUAAGUACCCCGCCUGGGGAGUACGGCCGCAAGGCUAAAACUCAAAGGAAUUGACGGGGCCCCGCACAAGCGGCGGAGCAUGCGGAUUAAUUCGAUGCAACGCGUAGAACCUUACCUGGGUUUGACAUGGAUCGGGAGUGCUCAGAGAUGGGUGUGCCUCUUUUGGGGUCGGUUCACAGGUGGUGCAUGGCUGUCGUCAGCUCGUGUCGUGAGAUGUUGGGUUAAGUCCCGCAACGAGCGCAACCCUUGUUCACUGUUGCCAGCACGUUAUGGUGGGGACUCAGUGGAGACCGCCGGGGUCAACUCGGAGGAAGGUGGGGAUGACGUCAAGUCAUCAUGCCCCUUAUGUCCAGGGCUUCACGCAUGCUACAAUGGCUGGUACAGAGAGUGGCGAGCCUGUGAGGGUGAGCGAAUCUCGGAAAGCCGGUCUCAGUUCGGAUUGGGGUCUGCAACUCGACCUCAUGAAGUCGGAGUCGCUAGUAAUCGCAGAUCAGCAACGCUGCGGUGAAUACGUUCCCGGG
Molecule: ribosomal RNA, 1343 nt
Filed under: uncultured bacterium
Lineage: Bacteria
Description: 16S ribosomal RNA
Rfam family: Bacterial small subunit ribosomal RNA
Source: RNAcentral